UCAGACGAUGCGUCAUGCAUAUCAAUAAGCGGAGGAAAAGAAACUAACAAGGAUUCCCUCAGUAACGGCGAGUGAAGCGGGAAGAGCUCAAAUUUGAAAUCUUGAAAGGUCGCCUUUCACGAAUUGUAGUUUAAAGAAGUGUUUUCUGUUACGAUCGUAAUAUAAGUUCUUUGGAAUAGGACAUCACAGAGGGUGAGAAUCCCGUCUAUGAUUGCGAUUUGUAGCUUUGUGAUACACUUUCAGAGAGUCGGGUUGUUUGGGAAUGCAGCCCAAAACGGGAGGUAAAUUUCUUCUAAGGCUAAAUAUUGGCGAGAGACCGAUAGCGAACAAGUACCGUGAGGGAAAGAUGAGAAGAACUUUGAAAAGAGAGUUAAAUAGUACGUGAAAUUGUCAAAAGGGAAGCGUUUAACACCAGUGUUGUUUUCUGAAAAUCAACCUCUGUUAGCUUUAUGCAUGUUUGUUUAGACCUAAUCAGCUAUCUUGCAUGUUCUAUUGUUUGCAGUGGUGCACUUUUCAGUUUACAGGUCAACAUCAGUUUUUUUUACCGUAAAAAAGUUAAAGAAAGGUAGCUCAUGGCUCCGGUCGUGAGUGUUAUAGUCUUUUUCCUAUGCGGUAGGAGAGACUGAGGUCUGCAGUGUAGGCUAUUUGGCUAGAUACUCAGGUGCUAUGUGAUACCAUUUCAUAAACAACUUGUUGAUUAUGUUUUGUCUAUUGCAUACUCGCUUGUACUAUCAUACCUACGCUUAGGAUGUUGAAGACUCUACAGAGAUA
This 771-nucleotide ribosomal RNA is filed under the name uncultured Neocallimastigales. RNAcentral's name for it is "partial large subunit ribosomal RNA". It matches the Rfam family "Eukaryotic large subunit ribosomal RNA", at positions 18 to 640 of the family's 3401-position model. Lineage: Eukaryota; Fungi; Neocallimastigomycota; Neocallimastigomycetes; Neocallimastigales. The record is from RNAcentral.